AGGCCUUCCUUUAUGUAUUUCUUGCCGCAGAUAAGUAUGCAAUAAAAUUUUAGGUACGCAGAAGAAAAAAUUAGAAGUUUGUAAUUAGCCUGCUUUUCAAUUUGUUUCUUCUUGCUAUCUGAUUUGAUGGUAAAGUCUCUGUUUAAUCUUCUCUAUUUGUCUUAGACUCUAUCCUUGCUUUAUUGAAUUUUUGUGCCUUGAAGGAUUUUAUUUAUUUAUUUAUUUACUUUAGUGGUGGUGAUGGUUUUUUGAAGCAGUCUUUUUGGUUUUAAUUUAAAAUGGAGACUUCAUUUUUAGAAGAUCAGUAACCUCCAUCUGGAAGGAUUCUUUUCUCCCAGCCACUUGACACUUAGACAAAGUUGAACUUUUUUAAAAAUUCUCAUGGAGGAGAUCAGAGGUUGCAUUCACCAUCAUGAAUACAUUUGGGGAUGUCGGUAUUCAUUCAACAGUAUCUGAUUUGUAAAUUAAUAGCUCAGCCUCUCUGCACUGUGGUAUGUUAAAGGUCAGUGACCGUGAGUGGAGAAACACUUUGGGAGCUAUUUGUGCUCUCUGGUAAACAGAGUGGCCAUGGCUUAAUGGCAUUAGUUCCAUGCUGCUUUUAGGAGAUACAGAUGUGCAACAUACCUUCUGUCUUCCUAUCUAGAACCAGUAAUCCUCUCUUAGAUUUGUGCAAGGAGGAGAGAAAAACAAGUCCUAAAAGGAUUAGUUCAACUGACUAAUUUUCUAAGUUGCUCGCUGCUUGGCAUGUCCCUUUUUGAUAACUAUCUUAACUAAGAUGCACUUUAGGUAAAUGACAUCCUCAAGCUGCACAGUAUAAAAAAGCCUUCUGAUUAUCCCAUCCUCUCCAGAUCUUGGGGCUGGCUCAGUAUUUUUUUUUAUAGCUAUUUCUCUCGUGCUGCAUGCAGAGCCCAUCUGCUGUAAUGUGGACUGAAAUGCUGCUUUUAUCCUUGUUUGCGUAGAAGGUUGGUGGGUAAAUCAAUUGGAGUAAAAGACAUAUUGUCCCUCUUUGCUCUAUGUCACUAGCACAAAUGUCUUUCUUUUCAAGUGUCUCUUGGCAGAAGCCAAAGCCUUUGGCACAAGCCACCUCUGCUAGUUUGACCUCUUUUGUGCAUCUGGAAUGGAUCACCUGUGAGAAGCACAGAACAAAACCAGCAAAAUAGCAAGAGAAAAGGUCAAGAAGGGGUCUUGCUCCCUGUAGACAUCAGAAGUUUCUGCGAGAUGAUAUUUAGCCUGUCCUGCCUGAACGGUUAAGGCAUCAAAGACAUUAGAACUUCGAUAGGUAAUAUCCUUGUGAGUUGUCAAAUAGGUUGCAAAGCAUGUUGCUCUGCCAUGCUGGGGGUGGGAGGGAGGAAUCUUACGUCUUUCUGCUCACUGAGGUAUCUGAGACUGAGAGCUUCAGAGAGGCUUUGGCUUCCAACAGAUGGAUGUACCAUGCUGUGCUCUGUCCUUGCCUGGCUUCUGACUUACAGGCCUUAGCUUAGAGUGAAGUCCAAAGAGGAACAGGACAGCUAGUUUCUACCAAAGACUGAGCUGACAUCAGUUACAAGCAGUAGAAGUGCCUGAUUUUUUGCUUCUGUAUUUUUAUUUUUGCCUGGUCACAGCCUUCUCUCAGAUCAACCAGUCUCUUUGAUGCAGCAUAAUUACAAGGACAGAGGUGAUUCCCUGUCCCCUGCCAUUUCAGCGAUGGGAUCUGAAGGGGAAGUAAGACAUGCUGUGAUAAUUCACCUCUCAACUUAGCAAGGUCAGGACAAACAUUCUUGCCUGUCUUAGCCAAGUGAAAAAGCCACUGUUGUUAAAAAUCCAGGAGGCAGGCAGUAUUCUGCUGCUCAGAACCCAGAAGUGCAGGGUAAUACAACCCUGACAGCUUUGAUGCUAGAUUAUUUGGUAUAUUUGUAGCUGUGGAUUGAUGUAAUGCUGAUCAGAAAGAAUCAUCUUUGCCAAAUCCAUUGUUGAACCCUUGCCCAGGACAAUAAGCUCAUAUGGUGAUGACAUGAGCUGAGCUGUGUUCUUUAUUGUUGUUAUAGAUUUUACAUGGUCCCCUGGUUUCAUCUGCAAUUUUUCACGCACAUGCGCAGUUCUGCCCUUCUCCUUUUGUAUCCUGCCCAGGAGUAAUGUGGAGCUUCAGACGAGUCUAUUUUCCAUCACAAAACCCUGCCAGAAACUGCAAUUGACUCAAAACAACUUACCCAGGAUUCUCUUUCUUUAAAAAUAGAUAUGGACUGUAAAUUUUGGUGUAUAGUGGAUUAGAAGAAAAAAAUAAUAACUGAACUCAGAACAGAUUUCAGCUGAUAUAAAGACACAUGGUAUAAUGCCAUUCUGGCUGAAGUCUUCAAGGAACUCAUGGAGGGUGAGGCUUUGUGUUGCUGCUUUCUGAUGCUGACUUUCCUUGUAUAGUCAUAUCAGUGUGCCUCAGACCUAGCUUUCUAGCCACAGCCUCUGAAUAGUUUGAACCUCACUGUGUUCUGGUGGUGGAUUAUUCAUGGGAGCCAUCAUCCUGCAUGGCACUGCUGCUAAGGAGCAGUUUGAACCCAAGGAUGCUCACACUAAAACUUAGUAACCAACUAACAGUACCACUUGUUGAGGAAUACCAUUUGAAUGUGUGACUUUGGGUGCUGAAGAGCAAGCUUACUGUGAGCAAAAAUCAUCCAGGAUAUACUGAAGGCUUUAUUUAAUUCACUUAAAGCUUUCCAAAUCGUUUGCAGAGGCACAGAUGCACUUUAGGGAGAUGAUAGGUUAAGAGAAUGAGAAUGUUGACUUGGAGAAUGUGUUGGUAGUGAACUGUAGCAUCAUUGUAGAAGUAAGUCUCUUUCUGCAUCAAACUGUGGUAUCAAGAUUGCUAAUUAGUGGUGUUUUUCUUCUUAGUGUAGCAUAAGGUGUUCUAACCUGACCUACUGGUUCACAAGAUAAAAGCUGCUAACCAGAUUGGAGAUCCGCUCUACUGGCUGAUACAGGUCUUUGCUAAAAGUAUGAUAUCCAUGAACACAAAUAGAAAGCACAUCUAAGAAUUAUGUAUCUGGGAGUUUAAAGGUGGUGGUAGUAGUGGAAAAAAAAGUCUGUGUUGCUUUGAGGUUAUUUUAAAAACUGAAACUGAAUAGGUCAAUACCCCUUGAGCUUUUUGGUCUCUAAUUCUCUUAAUGGUAUGGCAGAAAUUGUUAAUUAUAUUAUUAAAAAAAAGCUGUGAAGACUGUAUUAAUGUAAUGUGACCUUUGGAUCAGUCAAGAUCACAUUUUUGUUAUGAUUAGAAGAUUCCCUGUCCUGAAACAGUGAUCUCAUCUUCAGCUGAAUGUGACAGAUGGAGAGGAGAUGUUAUUGAGCCCAGGCAGUAGAUGGCAGUAUUGCAUUUCAUUCUGCAUUGUGCUCAGCUGUAAAAUGCUCACCUUAGGAAGAGGCCAUAAACUUUUUCCCUCAGUUUCCAUGAGCAGUUUUGCACUUAGAGCAUAUGAAAAAUUCACGAAGAAAAAUAAUUAAAAAUUACAUCUUGAAUCCAUAUUUCUAAGGUUACUCAUGUCAGGUACUUGAGCACCCAAACUUCCCUUAUCCUGCGUCAGCUCAGAAAACAGGCAUUUAUAUGUUAGGGACCAUCACCACUGUCUGUCUUAUAGCAGGGAUUUGUUGAGGCAGGGUAUGUCCCCAGUAAGUAGCAUCUCCCUCUUGGUUGCUGUGAUUUUUCUAGCUUUUUUGGUGAUUUUUCCAUCUCUGAUUGCAUCAACAGAAUGAAAGCUGUAUCAGCUACUUUGGUUUAGAUCAUGAUAAGGGAAAUUCAGAAAGAAACCUAGCUAGCAUGUCCUCCUUUGUACUUUAGUAUUUGGACAGACCUUAUAGCAGGGUGUGGAGGGAAUAAGAGACAGUUUCCAAACAGCUAGAAAUCAGGAUAGUGUGUGUUACAGAGUCUUAUGCACACUGACUGUGCUGAGCCUUAACGUGCUAUGCUGCUGAGUAGGCGGACAAGGAUUUGGGAAUGAAAGUGACAUCUGGGGUCAACAAUUUAUGAAAAUUAAAUACGUAGUGGCAUCUCAAGGAUCACAUGCGUGUAGAGUGAUAUGCCUUCGUUGUCCUGUGGGCAUAUGCCAUGCGUCUACACAGUUUUGUGAGGUAGCAAGGUAAUUGCUUUAAAAAUCCUUGCUAUUCAGGAUGUUGCAGGAUGCUAGCAAACACACUAGGUGAUGGGAAGCAGAGGGGUGCACCGGCUGGUGUUAAAGCUUCACUGCUGCUGACUUUUCUAUAAAUAACUGCUGUCUGCUGUAAUUGGUCACAUCACAGUCCGUGGUGAUCUUUUAUAUUAUUGCUGGCUGCUGGAAAACUCCCGGAGGCGUAAAAUAGAUACCAGGAAGAUCCUGCGCCCAGCAGUGUGUUUCCCCAAGCGGCACAGCAGAGUAAAACAGAAAUAGUGUUUACAGGGAGGUGAUGAAGAAUUUUCUGCAGCAGGAAGGAUGAAAAAAAAGAUUGUACCUCUGAAAUGAUAGCAGCAUGCCACCUCUCAUGCAGGAUAUUGCUGGGUCUUGUGGAAAGAAAAAAUCUUCAUAGGGUUUCUAGUGGUGUGCUGAAUGGGUAUUAUUAUUUGCCUCUGACUUACUUAUGGGUAUUUUUCAGCUCUCCAUAAAAUAACAGUGUCUUGCAGAAAUUGAAAACUAGAGAAAAAGAAUUAGGUGGUUGGCUUGUGUGAAAUGCGUGUGGGUAAAAUAUGUGGUAUUCUUCAUCCUGAAGGGUCUGACCAAUUCACAGACUAAGUGCUGAAUGCUACGUUCCACCUCUGCUUAAAUAUGAUCAGCUGUGGGGUGAAGCACAGCACUGAUGUGAAGCUGCUCAGCAUCAGGAACCAGUGUGUUUUGCUGAGGGGAGGCAGAAUAGUGCUGGAGUUAGAUGUUCAGGAGAGAAUCUGAGUGGACAGGGUUGAGUUGCCAAGAUUUGCUUGGUGUUGAGCAUCUGAAAGCUUCACCAUUUUGAGAAGUGAGAGCUGUAGUGAACCACUGUAGAACUACAGGGGCUUUAAGAUCACUAGACAAUGAAGAGACAAAGAUUUACAUUUGGAGAAGGCUGUGGUGUUCUGCAAACUGGUGAAAGAGAAAGCUCUUCUCACCAUCUGUCUUUGAGGACUGUACACCAGAAGAGAGCUCCUCUGAUCUUCUGAUGUUUUCCAUGCUGAUUUGCACUACUCUGAUGCCUUGCAUAAACAUGAAGGUAAGCUGGUGAGACACCUUCUGCCUCUUUUUCUUAUUCAAGUAGUUCUUCUUCAGAUGACUACUUCUCAUUGUGAAUAAAUAAUUUUGUGAUGGAUGGGAGCUUUAGCUCCUAGACUGCUGAUGUAGAGUUUGAUUUUUGUUUCACUGACAGUUAUUGUUGUUCUUGUCUUCAGGUACCAGGAGAAGAAAUGAGCAUCCUCCUCUGACACCAGUUUUCACCAUGACAGUAAUUUGAGCAGAAACAGCUUUGCCUGCAAAUAAAUAAAUAAAUAAAUAAAUAUUAUAUGAAAAGCUUCAGAUGGAACUGCCAUGUUCAUUCUUGUUUCUAGAGCCCCCACAGGCCAUGUCACAUAUGUGGGUCAUGAGGUCUAUCG
This is a long non-coding RNA of Gallus gallus (chicken), 5554 nucleotides long. The record is from Ensembl. NCBI's taxonomy places the organism in Eukaryota, Metazoa, Chordata, Aves, Galliformes, Phasianidae.